Molecule: long non-coding RNA, 306 nt
Filed under: Erythranthe guttata (spotted monkey flower)
Lineage: Eukaryota; Viridiplantae; Streptophyta; Magnoliopsida; Lamiales; Phrymaceae
Description: long non-coding RNA (EGUT_LNC002097)
Source: RNAcentral
GGGGUUUUAUGUUGUUUACCCGCAAAGGAUGAAACCAUCUUACUAAGGAAUGGAUGAGAUGAAAUUCGAAACAAAUAAAGAAGAAUAUUCCAAGUAAUUUGGAAAUGGGGUCGUGCCCUGGUGACAAAACUUAUUUGAACUAAAUGACAAGUCUAACUAAAUUAAAUGACAAUCUACUAAUGCUAAUUUUUGGUUCGUGAUGCGGUCAACAAUAAACUAACUCGAAUCACCUCAAAUUGACUCUUGAACCUACAACGAAUAUUCAAGAGCCGAUAUGAUCUUGUGAUGAUCUUCUUCAAUUUGAUG